Molecule: ribosomal RNA, 253 nt
Filed under: uncultured bacterium
Lineage: Bacteria
Description: partial 16S ribosomal RNA
Rfam family: Bacterial small subunit ribosomal RNA
Source: RNAcentral
UCCGUAGGGGGCAAGCGUUGUCCGGAAUCAUUGGGCGUAAAGCGCGUGUAGGCGGUUCGGUAAGUCUGCUGUGAAAGUCCAGGGCUCAACCCUGGGAUGCCGGUGGAUACUGUCGGACUAGAGUCCGGAAGAGGCGAGUGGAAUUCCUGGUGUAGCGGUGAAAUGCGCAGAUAUCGGGAGGAACACCAGUGGCGAAGGCGACUAUCUGGGCUGCAACUGACGCUGAGGCGCGAAGGCUAGGGUAGCAAACGGG